This 301-nucleotide ribosomal RNA is filed under the name uncultured bacterium. Its description in RNAcentral is "partial 16S ribosomal RNA". It matches the Rfam family "Bacterial small subunit ribosomal RNA", at positions 509 to 807 of the family's 1533-position model. The record is from RNAcentral.
CAGUAGCCGCGGUAAUACGAAGGGUGCAAGCGUUAAUCGGAAUUACUGGGCGUAAGGCGUGCGUAGGCGGUGAGUUAAGUCUGCUGUGAAAUCCCCGGGCUCAACCUGGGAAUGGCAGUGGAUACUGGCUCGCUAGAGUGUGUCAGAGGAUGGUGGAAUUCCCGGUGUAGCGGUGAAAUGCGUAGAGAUCGGGAGGAACAUCAGUGGCGAAGGCAGCCAUCUGGGACAACACUGACGCUGAGGCACGAAAGCGUGGGGAGCAAACAGGAUUAGAUACCCCCGUAGUCCCUGUCUCUUAUAC